ACUCCUACGGGAGGCAGCAGUGGGGAAUCUAGGACAAUGGGCGCAAGCCUGGUCCAGCCAUGCCGCGUGAGUGAUGAAGGCCCUAGGGUUGUAAAGCUCUUUCACCGGUGAAGAUAAUGACGGUAACCGGAGAAGAAGCCCCGGCUAACUUCGUGCCAGCAGCCGCGGUAAU
This 172-nucleotide ribosomal RNA is filed under the name uncultured Alphaproteobacteria bacterium. RNAcentral's name for it is "partial 16S ribosomal RNA". It matches the Rfam family "Bacterial small subunit ribosomal RNA", at positions 335 to 524 of the family's 1533-position model. The record is from RNAcentral. Lineage: Bacteria; Pseudomonadati; Pseudomonadota; Alphaproteobacteria.